CCCAGAGGUCAAGGGGCCGGUGUGGUGGCCCAGAGGUCAAAGGGCCGGUGUGGUGGCCCAGAGGUCAAGGGCUGGUGUGGCCCAGAGGUCAAGGAGCCGGUGUGGUGGCCCAGAGGUCAAGGGCUGGUGUGGUCCAGAGGUCAAGGGGCCGGUGUGGUGACCCAGAGGUCAAGCGGCCGGUGUCAUGGCCCAGAGGUCAAGGGGCCGGUGUGGUGGCCCAGAGGUCAAGGGGCCGGUGUGGUGGCCCAGAGGUCUAGGGGCCGGUGUGGUGGCCCAGAGGUCAAGGGCUGGUGUGGCCCAGAGGUCAAGGGGCCGGUGUGGCACAGAGGUCAAGGGUUGGUGUGGCCCAGAGGUCUAGGGGCCGGUGUGGUGGCCCAGAGGUCUAGGGGCCGGUGUGGUGGCCCAGAGGUCAAGGGGCCGGUGUGGCCCAGAGGUCUAGGGGCCGGUGUGGUGGCCCAGAGGUCAAGGGGCCGGUGUGGUGGCCCAGAAGUCAAGGGGCCGGUGUCAUGGCCCAGAGGUCAAGGGGCUGCUGUGGUGGCCCAGAGGUCAAGGGGCUGCUGUGGCCCAGAGGUCAAGGGGCUGCUGUGGCCCAGAGGUCAAGGGGCCGGUGUGGUGGCCCAGAGGUCAAGGGGCUGCUGUGGUGGCCCAGAGGUCAAGGGGCCACAGCAGCACCAGCAUCCUGCACGAAAGCGCCAGUCUGAGGCCUGACUACUCUCCUAUCCAGCUUCCUCCCAGCAUUCCUGAGAAGGCAGCGAGAUGGCGUGAGUCCUAGGGCCCCUGCCGCCCACGUGGGAAACCCAGAUGGAGUUCCAGGCUCCCUGCUUCAGCCUGGCCCAGCCCCAGCCUUUGCCGCCAUUUAGGGAGUGAACCAGCCAAUGGGAUAUCUCCCCCAUCUCCCCCACCCCGUGUGUGUAUUUAUCUACCUUUCAAAUAAAUAAAUCUUGGGGAAAAAAAAAAAAAAAAAA
RNAcentral lists this long non-coding RNA (965 nucleotides) under Oryctolagus cuniculus (rabbit). Its description in RNAcentral is "lncRNA (ENSOCUG00000032264.1)". Lineage: Eukaryota; Metazoa; Chordata; Mammalia; Lagomorpha; Leporidae. The record is from RNAcentral.